Passer domesticus (house sparrow) is the source of this 5329-nucleotide RNA transcript. RefSeq lists it as uncharacterized. The record is from RefSeq and is a predicted model, not a curated record. The transcript has 7 exons. Lineage: Eukaryota; Metazoa; Chordata; Aves; Passeriformes; Passeridae.
UGUCGCGUCAUAGGAAUGAAUCAGAAGUGGAAAGCAGCUGUAUGGAGCCCCACACCACAGGUCGCAGAGGCCACUAAAGGAGAAGGUCGAUCAAGCCAACUUGCUGAACUUAAAGCUGUUCAACUGGCCCUGGACAUUGCAGAAACAGAGAAGUGGCCAAAGCUCUAUCUCUACAGUGAUUCAUGGAUGGUAGCCAAUGCUCCAUGAGGAUGGCUGGAGAGGUGGAAGGAGGCUAACUGGCAGCAUAGAGGAAAACCAGUUUGGGCUGCUGAAGAGUGGAAAGACAUUGCUACCAGGGUAGGGAGGAUACCUGUGAAAGUUCAUCAGGUAGAUGCCCAUUGCUGGGGUCACCUGUCAGUUGUCUCUGCCCCAGCACGGGAAAAGGUGGUUCUGGGCAGGCCGUGCUCUCAAAGAAGGAGUCUGGACUCUUGCUUUUGGUCUUCAGUUGAGUUUAUUGUUCCUUAUCUACAAAGUUUUUCUGUCUGUCCAGCUGAGGUCUGAUCAGCAAGACAGCCAAGGGCACUCUCUCCCGCCCACAGGGCGGUUGUCUCUUUUAUAGUAAAAACUUCGUAUAAGAUAUUUACCGUUAAUUUCCAACACUUUUCGCCCUUGUUGGCAAGUGCACUUUCCCUAUUAAGCAAUCCACACAUGCCAACAUCAUCCUGAACAUAGAUGCCAAGGAGAAGAAAGAAGAAGGACAGGGCACGCCCAAAUUCCUCCAUCUUGGGACUCCCGACCCAUGUACAGAAUUCCAAACCCCCUGUACAACAUAUAAAACCCCCUGGUACAGUGCAUUAUAAUUCAAGUUUUAUCAAGUGAAUAUCAUCCCCUCACCAUUCAGGCCUGAAAUUCUCCCAUUUCCUCACAUUCAGGUGUCUUUGGCUUCCUGCCAGGGUCUCCGAGCCCCUGCCAGGGCUUUGAGACAUCCAGGGCAUCCAGAGAGAUGCUCUGGGUUCCGACAGCCCAUGUCCCCAAGAGUAGAGCUAAUGAGGAGCACAAAAACAAUGAGCAGGUAGACCAGGCUGCAAAGAUAGAGGUGUCCAAGACAGACCUAGAUUGGGAACACAAGGGAGAGUUAUUCCUAGCUUGAUGGGCCCAUGAUGCCUCAGGCCAUCAGGGUAGAGAUGUCACCUGUAAGUGGGCACGAGACCGAGGGGUGGAUUUAACCAUGGACAGUUAUGUCUCAGGUUAUCCACGACUGUGUGACGUGUGCUGCCAUCAAACAGGGCAAGCGAGUGAAGCCCCUGUGGUAUGGUGGGCAGUGGUCCAAGUAUAAGUAUGGGGAGGCCUGGCAGAUUGACCACAUCACACUGCCCCAGGCACACCAAGGCAAGUGCUCACAAUGGUAGAAGCCACCACGGGAUGGUUGGAAACCUACCCUGUGUCUCACGCUACUGCCCGUAACACCAUCCUGGGCCUUGAAAAGCAGGUCCUGUGGAGGCAUAGUACCCCUGAGAGGAUUGAGUCAGACAAUGGGACUCAUUUCAAGAACAGUCUUAUUAACACCUGGGCUAGGGAACAUGGCACUGAGUGGGUGUACCAUAUCCUCUACCUUGCACCAGCUGCAGGCAAAGUGGAGAGGUACAGUGGACUAUAAAAACCCAGUGGAAAGCCUUGGGUGGGGGAUCUUUCAAAAACUGGGAGCAGCAUUUAGCAAAGGUCACCUGGUUAGUUAAUAUCCGAGGUUCCAACAACUCAGCAGGUCCUGCCCAGUCUGAGUCCCUGGAUAUAACAGAUGAAGUCCCAGUGGUAAAUGUCAGAGAUUUGUUAGGGAAGACGGUGUGGAUCAAUUCUGCCUCAAGUAGACAAACCCAUUUGCGGGAUUGUCUUUGAUCAGGGACCAGGUUGCACAUGGUGGAUAAUGCGGAGAGAUGGAACAACACAAUGUGUACCUCAGGGAGAUCUGAUUGUGGGGUGAAAAUCAUAUGCAAAUAUCACUGUUUGCUGGAUGUUACUGCCAUUGUCUGUACAUUAAACCAUACAGAUGUGAAACAGAAAAAAACGUGUCAUUGUCAAGGGUCCGAGCAAGUGAAAGAUGGAGUUUUGAGUCAGCAAAAUGGAAGUGAGGAAUCCUGCAGCUCUGUAGUCUGGGACCUGGAUUGAGUGCUCCGGUGUGGUUACGUGACAGGGGCACGAUGGGGAUUGCUUGUAAUGUUUUGGGGGAAGCAGAUGGAAGUUUUUACUUGAAUAAAAUGCAUGAGGUUUGGUAGUAAGUUGACGAUAUGGGGAUAAGGGGUGGAAUGUCCUAGGGUGAUGUUAUGAUGGUCAGAGAUCAGAGGAGCUGGGAGGGGGUAGGCAGCAUUUCUGAUCACAACCACUUUAGCAGUGUCAGUGGGGUUGAGUCCAAGAGAAGAACUUGCUCCAGCACAGAUGCACAAAGAGGGAGGUUUCCAGUGCAAUGCUCUGGGCCAGAUCACUUUCCGUAAGGACCUACACACUCCAGAUUCCCCAAGAGUCUGGUUUAUUGAAGCAACAAGACAGCAAUCUCAGGAUUGCUGCUGACUGGGGGCACUGGCUACCAAGUGCUGAUGUGUGUAGCAACAGAGAGAACAGUAAAGACAGAUUAUAGUAGAUGUAUCUAUCUAUCUAUCUGUCAGUCUGCCUGUCUGUCUGUCUUUGUAACGUUUACAUAAUUGAAUUUUCCUGGAUCUGGUCCAAUGAUGUUGGAGGUGAAAAGCUCACCUAAAGCAUCCCUUUCAGGAGAGGAUUAGUGACAUGUUCUGUCAACUGAUUCUGAGCAGGCAGAGAUGUUUCCCCCUUCAGACAUGGGUUUUUUUCCCCUCAGAGCUGUUUUUCUCCUCCAGCCUCUUCUGUCCUGAAGUCCGCAGUUUAAAUUUCUGCCUGUCCUAGGAAAGUGGAACACUUCCAUGGUUCGGUGGUGUUUGGUGACUUUGCUCAUACAGGCAUUACAUGACACAUUGGUAUGAGUUUCAUUUUAAUAAAGUUGGGGAAGAAUGGGGGGUUUGUUCAUUGUGGGGGAAGGGAAGUGUCCAGGACUUGGUGGGGGCUGGAGGUGGAAAGUGAUUGGACCAGGGCACUGACCAAUCACUCGAUGCCCUGGGGAAAUGAUUGGUCCAAAAUGAACAUCAGUAAGGACCAAUCAAAGCGCCCAAAUUCCACCAAUCGGUGCGCGGAUCCAAAACCCACCAAUCCUGGACCAGGGACUGUUAUGAAAAGGGGGGCUUUGAGUUCUUCGGGGUGCUUUCGGGUUUAUUCCUGUUCGUGUGCGGUUUGUUUGCGGAAGAACCCAACGUGUGCUUAAGAUGUUGUUCUAGAUUUUGAGCUGUUGUGUGUGGAUUCUGAGCUUAUCUCAGGUCCUCUGUCCUCUCUGGCUUGUUUUAAUAAACGAGAGCCUUUUUCAACCACUUUCUGAAAAUUGGCCUUGUUCUAUUUUUAACAACAUGGUUUCCUUCACUGGCAUCCCCAGGGGUCCUUGUAGAGAAAGAGCCAGAGAACAUUGCUUUAUCAGAGAUGCCAUGCCAGGCUCAGGGAGAGCUGUUCCCAGCCCGAGAGCAGGAAGAACAGCUCAGGCAGCAGGUGGAAGGGCCAGAGCAGAAUGGCCAGAACAUCAAGGCAGAGCCAGAAGCAGAGCUGCCCGAAGCUCAGAGUGCCAUCAUGGCAGUGGAGAGGAGGAAGAAGGAAGACAUGAGAAGAAUUCAAGAGGAGAUUCAUCUCCACCAGCACAGGGGCGAUCAACAAAAACAUGUAAGUGAAAGAGUGGCAGCCACUCCACUCAUUAAACAGCGUGUUUAUUCUUGGUUACAGACCAUCAAGGAAGAUGUGCAGGCGGAGCUGCAGGAAUCUGAGGAUAGGAACAAGGAAAGGGUGAGGAGGCUGGAGGAAGAAAUGAAAAUCAUCAGAGAGAAACUUAACCGCCUCCCUUGGGCUCUACAAAAGCAAGUGACAAAAGCAACAGCCAUCUCUCCCCUGGCUCCCUCUGCUCCUGGAGAAGAUGCCAAAAAGGAGCAAAAUGAGCAGGAUAACCACAUGCGCCCAGCCGUGGUCACAGCCCAGCCUGAUCAUCCCAAGAGAGGAGAAUGGUGACCAUGGAAAAUCCCGCAAUGAAAUACAUGGAACAGGAACACAUUAGCAGCGGGUCUUUUGGAGAUGUGGUUAGAGCACUCAACAAUACCACAGGAGGAGAGCACAAUGUUUAUUGCAAACUGAAACAAGAUGAGCAAAGUAAAAACAAUGUCAUGCGCCUUUGGGAGCAUCCUUGUUGAUCUUUCUGCUUUUUCUGUUGAGCAAGGCUCUGAUCCAGGCAAAGAGAUUGCACUUAGUGACACAGAACCAUUUGGCUGGAACUCUGCUGAUUUCUAGUAACAGCUGGAGGCCUGGAUCUCCACAGGAUGCUUUGGCUGUCCCAGGCUUUGUUGGCUUUUGGCUGCAAAUACCAUUGCCCUUGCUUUCUCAUCCAGAAGUACCAUGGCUGUGCAAAAACUGCCAGUGGGCCAUAUUUCAAAGGCAACUUGGGCUGGAGUUUGUGAAGGAAGGAGACGCUUACCCAAUUCCACACCACAUUAAAAAAUAAUAAACGAGAACUUCCCAUCCUUAACAAACAACUGACAAUUCAGAAGUGGAUACAGAGCUUUUUUACAGAAUGAAAAAUAGGGAAUUUUCCAGUGGUGUUGUGAUUUCUGGAGUUUUUAUUCUGACUCACAGCUAGCACUGGAGAAAGUCAUGUCCCUGGAAGUGUCAUUGUCUUCUGCCUGCAACCAUCAGAGGCAUCAGGCUGGAGACAGGCUCAGCUGACGUUAGCAACAGGAGCUGCCCCAAGGAGAAAAAAUUGAAUGAACUUGUGCCUCUCAAACCCAUCUCCCCACAGGCUCCAGCAGGAUUCCUUUGGUUCUUAUAAAUACACAGAAAUAGGGCUGAGAAGACCAUCUGAAUCUAUGUGUUCAUGCCCAAGACCUCGCUGAUGCUGUUUGGGUUUUGUAAUUUUUCUUUUCUAUGUUUUCUGUAUUCUUUGCACAUAUAUUUGUAGCUCUAUAGCCUAUUCUAUUAGUGAGUAGUUUUCCCAGUACUUCUCCAUGGCCUUUCCCUAAGCAGAAAGACAAACCUCCAGAGCUCCAAGCACCAGGGAGUAGAAGGCCCCAGUGCUAUCUUGGUUCUUCCUGGGACAGACCCCUCCAGGCAGCUGGUGGAGUCACCAUCCCUGCAAGUGUUUAAGACAAGACUGGAUGUGGCACUAGGUGCCGUGGUUUAGUUGAGCUGUUAGGGCAUGGGUUGGACUCCAUGAUCUUGCAAGUGUCUUCCAGCCCAGUGAUUCUGUGAUUCUGUGACUGAGGGAGCUUUCCCUGGAGACCAGGAAAGGCCUCCGGGGGCCUUG